RNAcentral lists this long non-coding RNA (415 nucleotides) under Equus caballus (horse). Its description in RNAcentral is "lncRNA (ENSECAG00000051602.1)". Lineage: Eukaryota; Metazoa; Chordata; Mammalia; Perissodactyla; Equidae. The record is from RNAcentral.
CUCCGUGCAGACGCUGUGUGAAGCGCUGGGGUCGGAGGUCACUGUCAGGGGCCUCUGUACUGCACGCCCACUGGGUGCCUGGGCUUUACCUGCUGUCCCGUGUGAUGCCCACUGCCACCCCCGAGAGGGAGGCCCAAGUCCUCUCACCCCACCGUGGAGGAGGCCGGACAUGCAGUCGUUGAACACAGGCCCCACCCCUCCGCCCUGCUCCCUCUCCAGCCGCAGAACUCGGGGCUCGAGGAAUUGGGAACCGCAAUAUCUUUCUGUUGGGCAGCGCUGUUCCAGCCACUGUGUUUGUGCAACAAUGCAGCGGGCUGUCUCACCAGGCGGUCAGCCUCCCCUCACUGGAGAUGUUAACGAAAGGCAUUGGUAAUAGACUUCUUGUAGCAAGAUGGAUGAACUCCGUAAUCCCUCC